Molecule: RNA transcript, 384 nt
Organism: Callithrix jacchus (white-tufted-ear marmoset)
Lineage: Eukaryota; Metazoa; Chordata; Mammalia; Primates; Cebidae
Gene name: SRA stem-loop-interacting RNA-binding protein, mitochondrial pseudogene
Source: RefSeq, a predicted model, not a curated record
UAAAUAAAACAAUUUGAGUCUAAAGAUGGUGGCCUUAGCAGCCAGUGGUGCUGUGGCACUGCGUAGAAAUAUCAGUCGGCCGGUUGCUUUUGUGAGAAAAAUUCCUUGGACUGUGGCGUCGAGUCAGCUGAGAGAACACUUUGCACAGUUUGGCCAUAUAAGAAAGCGUAUUGUACCUUUUGACAAGAAGACUGGUUUUCACAAAGGUUUGGGUUGGGUUCAGUUUUCUUCAGAAGAACUUCAGAAUGCACUACAACAGGAAAAUUAUAUUAUAUAGAUGGAAUAAAGCUCCAGGUUCAAGUUCAAAGGCCAAAAAUUUUGCAAAUAUCUGAUGAAGAAAAAGAUUUUUGAGAUUGCCAGACUAUUAAAUAAAGUUAACAUAAC